AGCUUCAAUAGCGUAUACUUAAGUUGUUGUGGUUGAAGAGCUCGUAGUCGUAAUUGUGGACGAUCCAGUUGUAGUGUUACUCCCUUUGGGGGUUUCGCUUAAGGACUGUGGUCUCCUUCUUAAGAUGUUUGGGGGCUGGUGUUAUUAGCUUAGCGUCAGUCAACUGCAUCGUGUUUACCUUGAAUAAAUCGGAGUGCUCAAAGCAGGCUUUACGCUUGAACGAUUGUGCAUGGGAUAAUGGAACAGGGCGUCUCGACCCUUUCAUUGGUUUAAGUUGAGACGUAAUGAUAGAUAGGAACGGUCGGCGCGAUUCGUACGAGAGAGUGAAAGGUGAAAUUUUUAGAUCUCUCUCAGACGAACAGAUGCGAAGGCGUUUCGCGAGAACGUUU
RNAcentral lists this ribosomal RNA (389 nucleotides) under uncultured eukaryote. RNAcentral describes it as "SSU rRNA". It matches the Rfam family "Eukaryotic small subunit ribosomal RNA", at positions 587 to 969 of the family's 1831-position model. The record is from RNAcentral.